RNAcentral lists this long non-coding RNA (388 nucleotides) under Homo sapiens (human). Its description in RNAcentral is "long non-coding RNA NONHSAT258481". Lineage: Eukaryota; Metazoa; Chordata; Mammalia; Primates; Hominidae. The record is from RNAcentral.
GGAUCUUUGAGAGUGUGCAGGAGUAUGUGGCUGAAGCGGCCCAGCUGGUGAGCCACUGAAGAUGGGGGUCAUAGGUAGAUGGAGGAAUUGCCAGGUCAGAAUCUCGGUAGGAGAUGACUUGAGCUGAUGCUGCCUGGCACAUAGGGGUUUAGAAGAUAUUAGGAAGGAAGCCCCACAGCGUGCCCAAGUGCCAUGCAGGCCCUGGAGACGGUCAUUGGAGGGCGUCUGUGGAUGGCGCAGUGGGGGAUGGGAAGUCCCUAAUCUGCUGGGGCUUUCCCAGCAAGCAGGGACUGAGGGGGAUAGUCCCCAACACAUGGGCCCCAGGGAGAAGGGCCUGUUUCAUUGAGGUUUGGAGAGUGUUGAGGGUAAGCUAACCUGUCACCCCACG